ACAAAAAUCAAAGUUUUUGGAAUAAGUUAAGUUGGUUUGCGUAGGGAAGUCCGGUGAAAAUCCGGCGCUGUACCCGCAGCUGUUAAGGGGAACGAAAACCCAACAUGCCACUGCCCUUUUGGGUGGGAAGGCGGGUGAGUAGGAGUUUGCCCCUAAGCCAGAAGACCUUGCAAACCUGAAUAUUCCCC
RNAcentral lists this non-coding RNA (188 nucleotides) under Hippea maritima. The record is from RNAcentral. Lineage: Bacteria; Pseudomonadati; Campylobacterota; Desulfurellia; Desulfurellales; Hippeaceae.